AAAUAUAUUAAUCAAAUCAUUACUACAUCGGCGAACAGUGACGUGAGUGUCGAUUAGUGUUGAUCCAGGAUCAGGUUUUAUUACGUUAGAACGGAACGAGAAGAAUCUUCAUGGAGAUCAUCGAGGAAGACAUCCGAGGUUAUCCGAGAUAUCGGGAGGAGCUUCAAAGUGGCGAUGAUGAAUCGUAAUAAAAGUUCGAAAAGUCGAAAGAAAAGAGGAUGAGAAGAAGAGGAACCAACACCACACAGUGAUAUCGGAGUAAGGAGUAGAGAGAAGAACGUUAGGCGUCAUCCGGUGAGGUGUCAUCGUUGGCAUCAGUAAAA
This 323-nucleotide long non-coding RNA is filed under the name Polistes fuscatus (common paper wasp). Its description in RNAcentral is "uncharacterized LOC122526418". The record is from RNAcentral. Lineage: Eukaryota; Metazoa; Arthropoda; Insecta; Hymenoptera; Vespidae.